AGCGUACACGGUGGAUGCCCUGGCAGUCAGAGGCGAUGAAGGACGUGCUAAUCUGCGAUAAGCGUCGGUAAGGUGAUAUGAACCGUUAUAACCGGCGAUUUCCGAAUGGGGAAACCCAGUGUGUUUCGACACACUAUCAUUAACUGAAUCCAUAGGUUAAUGAGGCGAACCGGGGGAACUGAAACAUCUAAGUACCCCGAGGAAAAGAAAUCAACCGAGAUUCCCCCAGUAGCGGCGAGCGAACGGGGAGGAGCCCAGAGCCUGAAUCAGUGUGUGUGUUAGUGGAAGCGUCUGGAAAGGCGCGCGAUACAGGGUGACAGCCCCGUACACAAAAAUGCACAUGCUGUGAGCUCGAUGAGUAGGGCGGGACACGUGGUAUCCUGUCUGAAUAUGGGGGGACCAUCCUCCAAGGCUAAAUACUCCUGACUGACCGAUAGUGAACCAGUACCGUGAGGGAAAGGCGAAAAGAACCCCGGCGAGGGGAGUGAAAAAGAACCUGAAACCGUGUACGUACAAGCAGUGGGAGCACGCUUAGGCGUGUGACUGCGUACCUUUUGUAUAAUGGGUCAGCGACUUAUAUUCUGUAGCAAGGUUAACCGAAUAGGGGAGCCGAAGGGAAACCGAGUCUUAACUGGGCGUUAAGUUGCAGGGUAUAGACCCGAAACCCGGUGAUCUAGCCAUGGGCAGGUUGAAGGUUGGGUAACACUAACUGGAGGACCGAACCGACUAAUGUUGAAAAAUUAGCGGAUGACUUGUGGCUGGGGGUGAAAGGCCAAUCAAACCGGGAGAUAGCUGGUUCUCCCCGAAAGCUAUUUAGGUAGCGCCUCGUGAAUUCAUCUCCGGGGGUAGAGCACUGUUUCGGCAAGGGGGUCAUCCCGACUUACCAACCCGAUGCAAACUGCGAAUACCGGAGAAUGUUAUCACGGGAGACACACGGCGGGUGCUAACGUCCGUCGUGAAGAGGGAAACAACCCAGACCGCCAGCUAAGGUCCCAAAGUCAUGGUUAAGUGGGAAACGAUGUGGGAAGGCCCAGACAGCCAGGAUGUUGGCUUAGAAGCAGCCAUCAUUUAAAGAAAGCGUAAUAGCUCACUGGUCGAGUCGGCCUGCGCGGAAGAUGUAACGGGGCUAAACCAUGCACCGAAGCUGCGGCAGCGACGCUUAUGCGUUGUUGGGUAGGGGAGCGUUCUGUAAGCCUGUGAAGGUGUGCUGUGAGGCAUGCUGGAGGUAUCAGAAGUGCGAAUGCUGACAUAAGUAACGAUAAAGCGGGUGAAAAGCCCGCUCGCCGGAAGACCAAGGGUUCCUGUCCAACGUUAAUCGGGGCAGGGUGAGUCGACCCCUAAGGCGAGGCCGAAAGGCGUAGUCGAUGGGAAACAGGUUAAUAUUCCUGUACUUGGUGUUACUGCGAAGGGGGGACGGAGAAGGCUAUGUUGGCCGGGCGACGGUUGUCCCGGUUUAAGCGUGUAGGCUGGUUUUCCAGGCAAAUCCGGAAAAUCAAGGCUGAGGCGUGAUGACGAGGCACUACGGUGCUGAAGCAACAAAUGCCCUGCUUCCAGGAAAAGCCUCUAAGCAUCAGGUAACAUCAAAUCGUACCCCAAACCGACACAGGUGGUCAGGUAGAGAAUACCAAGGCGCUUGAGAGAACUCGGGUGAAGGAACUAGGCAAAAUGGUGCCGUAACUUCGGGAGAAGGCACGCUGAUAUGUAGGUGAAGCGACUUGCUCGUGGAGCUGAAAUCAGUCGAAGAUACCAGCUGGCUGCAACUGUUUAUUAAAAACACAGCACUGUGCAAACACGAAAGUGGACGUAUACGGUGUGACGCCUGCCCGGUGCCGGAAGGUUAAUUGAUGGGGUCAGCGCAAGCGAAGCUCUUGAUCGAAGCCCCGGUAAACGGCGGCCGUAACUAUAACGGUCCUAAGGUAGCGAAAUUCCUUGUCGGGUAAGUUCCGACCUGCACGAAUGGCGUAAUGAUGGCCAGGCUGUCUCCACCCGAGACUCAGUGAAAUUGAACUCGCUGUGAAGAUGCAGUGUACCCGCGGCAAGACGGAAAGACCCCGUGAACCUUUACUAUAGCUUGACACUGAACAUUGAGCCUUGAUGUGUAGGAUAGGUGGGAGGCUUUGAAGUGUGGACGCCAGUCUGCAUGGAGCCGACCUUGAAAUACCACCCUUUAAUGUUUGAUGUUCUAACGUUGACCCGUGAUCCGGGUUGCGGACAGUGUCUGGUGGGUAGUUUGACUGGGGCGGUCUCCUCCUAAAGAGUAACGGAGGAGCACGAAGGUUGGCUAAUCCUGGUCGGACAUCAGGAGGUUAGUGCAAUGGCAUAAGCCAGCUUGACUGCGAGCGUGACGGCGCGAGCAGGUGCGAAAGCAGGUCAUAGUGAUCCGGUGGUUCUGAAUGGAAGGGCCAUCGCUCAACGGAUAAAAGGUACUCCGGGGAUAACAGGCUGAUACCGCCCAAGAGUUCAUAUCGACGGCGGUGUUUGGCACCUCGAUGUCGGCUCAUCACAUCCUGGGGCUGAAGUAGGUCCCAAGGGUAUGGCUGUUCGCCAUUUAAAGUGGUACGCGAGCUGGGUUUAGAACGUCGUGAGACAGUUCGGUCCCUAUCUGCCGUGGGCGCUGGAGAACUGAGGGGGGCUGCUCCUAGUACGAGAGGACCGGAGUGGACGCAUCACUGGUGUUCGGGUUGUCAUGCCAAUGGCACUGCCCGGUAGCUAAAUGCGGAAGAGAUAAGUGCUGAAAGCAUCUAAGCACGAAACUUGCCCCGAGAUGAGUUCUCCCUGACUCCUUGA
This 2787-nucleotide ribosomal RNA is filed under the name Escherichia coli. RNAcentral describes it as "bacterial LSU rRNA". It matches the Rfam family "Bacterial large subunit ribosomal RNA". The record is from RNAcentral. Lineage: Bacteria; Pseudomonadati; Pseudomonadota; Gammaproteobacteria; Enterobacterales; Enterobacteriaceae.